This 253-nucleotide ribosomal RNA is filed under the name uncultured bacterium. RNAcentral's name for it is "partial 16S ribosomal RNA". It matches the Rfam family "Bacterial small subunit ribosomal RNA", at positions 524 to 776 of the family's 1533-position model. The record is from RNAcentral.
UACAGAGGUCUCAAGCGUUGUUCGGAUUCAUUGGGCGUAAAGGGUGCGUAGGUGGCGCUGUAAGUCGGGUGUGAAAUUUCGGAGCUUAACUCCGAAACUGCAUUCGAUACUGCGGUGCUUGAGGACUGGAGAGGAGACUGGAAUUCCCGGUGUAGUGGUGAAAUGCGUAGAGAUCGGGAGGAACACCGAUGGCGAAGGCAGGUCUCUGGGCCACUACUGACGCUGAGAAGCGAAAGCAUGGGGAGCGAACAGG